GAUGAACGCUGGCGGCGUGCUUAACACAUGCAAGUCGAACGGAGUUAUGUAGAAUGAGUCUUCGGACAAGUGAAUAUAGACUUAGUGGCGGACGGGUGAGUAACGUGUGGGGUAACCUACCCUAUACAGGAGGAUAACAGUAAGAAAUUAUUGCUAAAACUGCAUAAGAUUACGAGUUCGCAUGAACAAGUGAUAAAAACUUUAGUGGUAUAGGAUGGGCCCGCAUCUGAUUAGGUAGUUGGGUGGAGUAAAAGCCUACCAAGCCGACGAUCAGUAGCCGAUCUGAGAGGAUGACCGGCCACAUUGGGACUGAGGCACGGCCCAAACUCCUACGGGAGGCAGCAGUGGGGAAUAUUGACAAUGGGGGGAUACCCUGAUCCAGCGACGCCGCGUGAGUGAAGAAUAUUUUGGGUAUGUAAAGCUCUAUCAGCAGGGAGAAAAUGACGGACCUGAUUAAGAAGCCCCGGGUAACUACGUGCCAGCAGGCUGGGUAAUACGUAGGGGCAAGCGUUAUCCGGAUUUUCUGGUUGUAAGGGAGCGUA
This 542-nucleotide ribosomal RNA is filed under the name uncultured Lachnospiraceae bacterium. RNAcentral describes it as "bacterial SSU rRNA". It matches the Rfam family "Bacterial small subunit ribosomal RNA", at positions 28 to 573 of the family's 1533-position model. The record is from RNAcentral. Lineage: Bacteria; Bacillati; Bacillota; Clostridia; Lachnospirales; Lachnospiraceae.